This 467-nucleotide ribosomal RNA is filed under the name uncultured bacterium. RNAcentral's name for it is "partial 16S ribosomal RNA". It matches the Rfam family "Bacterial small subunit ribosomal RNA", at positions 28 to 507 of the family's 1533-position model. The record is from RNAcentral.
GAUGAACGCCGGCGGCGUGCUUAACACAUGCAAGUCGAACGGAAAGGCCCAAGCUUGCUUGGGUACUCGAGUGGCGAACGGGUGAGUAACACGUGGGUGAUCUGCCCUGCACUUCGGGAUAAGCCUGGGAAACUGGGUCUAAUACCGGAUAGGAGCACUUCUUUGAUGUUGUGGUGGAAAGUUUUUUCGGUGUGGGAUGAGCUCGCGGGCUAUCAGCUUGUUGGUGGGGCAAUGGCCUACUCAGGAGUCGGCGGGUAGCGGGCAUGAGAGGGUGUACGGCCACAUUGGGACUGAGAUACGGCGCAGACACCUACGGGAGGCAGCAGUGGGGAGUAUAGCACAAAGGGCGCCAGCCGGAUGCAGCGACGACGCGUGGGGGAUGACGGCGUUCGGGUUGUAAACUCCUUUCGCUAGGGACGAAGCGUAUUGUGACGGUACCUGGAGAAGAAGCACCGGCUAACUACGUG